GACCUUAACCUGCUAAAUAGCCCGUAUUGCUUUGGCAGUACGCUGGCUUCUUAGAGGGACUAUCCGCUCAAGCGGAUGGAAGUUUGAGGCAAUAACAGGUCUGUGAUGCCCUUAGAUGUUCUGGGCCGCACGCGCGUUACACUGACGGAGCCAGCGAGUACUUCCUUGACAGAGAUGUCCGGGUAAUCUUGUGAAACUCU
RNAcentral lists this ribosomal RNA (200 nucleotides) under Microdochium nivale. RNAcentral describes it as "partial small subunit ribosomal RNA". It matches the Rfam family "Eukaryotic small subunit ribosomal RNA", at positions 1339 to 1563 of the family's 1831-position model. The record is from RNAcentral. Lineage: Eukaryota; Fungi; Ascomycota; Sordariomycetes; Xylariales; Microdochiaceae.